UAUAGGAUUAGGGAAUGAUAAUUGAUGAAAUUGGAAUGUCAUUCUUGCAAAGAUUCUGCAGAUUGAUUAAGGGUGUGUUUGGUUGCAUGCACCACAUGAUGCAUACAUGGAUGAUCCUGGAUGGGAUGGUUCAACCAAUUUACUUGUACCAUAUGGUUCACUCUAAUUAGUAGAAUAAUGUAUUAAGUGGGAUGGUCUCAUCCUGGAUGAGUUGGUCCAAUUCACCCAACAAAACAAAAUGAUCAUUAUUAUUUUGAAUCAUUUCAUACAUGACUCAAAUGAUACAACCAACCAAACACACCCUAAGUUUGACAGAGCUCAGGGAGGUCAUCACCUGUUUGUGCACACAGCCAGAGGUGUAGAAGAAAUGCUUAACCAAAAUACAAUGCAACGUGUAAGAACAUGAAAACGUUGGUAAUGCCACAACCAUUUGCACAACCUGUAAGCAUCCAAUCUAAGUAACCGAUAUCAAUUGUAAACUGUCUAAUGGUGAGGUGGUCCUUUGCUUUUCUGUUGCAUGUCCAUGUAGUAUUCUGUGAUCUUCUGAAGAAACUAUGCUCAAAUUGUUGCUUUGCUUGCCAAGCUUUGUGAUCUUAUGGAGAUGCAAAUGAUUUGCCUUUGUCAAUUUGAUUGAACGAUAUUGGGACUAGGACCUCGGGAUUUAGUAUAAGUAGUUUAAGAUACUGAAUCUUUUGUUGAUUACUUAGAAUGACUUUCAAUAUUAUACUGCAUGCAGCUUCAU
Molecule: long non-coding RNA, 742 nt
Filed under: Setaria italica (foxtail millet)
Lineage: Eukaryota; Viridiplantae; Streptophyta; Magnoliopsida; Poales; Poaceae
Description: long non-coding RNA (SITA_LNC003821)
Source: RNAcentral